RNAcentral lists this non-coding RNA (122 nucleotides) under Thermincola carboxydiphila JR. RNAcentral's name for it is "Thermincola potens JR Molybdenum/Tungsten riboswitch aptamer (Moco RNA motif)". It matches the Rfam family "Molybdenum/Tungsten riboswitch aptamer (Moco RNA motif)". Lineage: Bacteria; Bacillati; Bacillota; Clostridia; Eubacteriales; Thermincolaceae. RNAcentral also lists the same sequence under 1 other name. The record is from Rfam by way of RNAcentral.
CCUAAUACUUCACUCCGAGCCUACCUUCCUAAAGUUUUGUAAAAACCAUGGAGAGUAGGCCGAUAGGGUGCGGCGGGAAACGGUCGUGCCUCCCAUUGGAAAGGGGUGAUACAAGUCUGGUU